AUGCAGUCGAGGGGCAGCAUCAUCAAAGCUUGCUUUGAUGGAUGGCGACCGGCGCACGGGUGAGUAACACGUAUCCAACCUGCCGACAACACUGGGAUAGCCUUUCGAAAGAAAGAUUAAUACCGGAUGGCAUAAUUAUUCCGCAUGGGAUAAUUAUUAAAGAAUUUCGGUUGUCGAUGGGGAUGCGUUCCAUUAGGCAGUUGGCGGGGUAACGGCCCACCAAACCUACGAUGGAUAGGGGUUCUGAGAGGAAGGUCCCCCACAUUGGAACUGAGACACGGUCCAAACUCCUACGGGAGGCAGCAGUGAGGAAUAUUGGUCAAUGGACGAGAGUCUGAACCAGCCAAGUAGCGUGAAGGAUGACUGCCCUAUGGGUUGUAAACUUCUUUUAUACGGGAAUAAAGUGAGCCACGUGUGGCUUUUUGUAUGUACCGUAUGAAUAAGGAUCGGCUAACUCCGUGCCAGCAGCCGCGGUAAUACGGAGGAUCCGAGCAUUAUCCGGAUUUAUUGGGUUUAAAGGGAGCGUAGGCGGGUUGUUAAGUCAGUUGUGAAAGUUUGCGGCUCAACCGUAAAAUUGCAGUUGAUACUGGCGACCUUGAGUGCAACAGAGGUAGGCGGAAUUCGUGGUGUAGCGGUGAAAUGCUUAGAUAUCACGAAGAACUCCGAUUGCGAAGGCAGCUUACUG
Molecule: ribosomal RNA, 685 nt
Filed under: uncultured bacterium
Lineage: Bacteria
Description: bacterial SSU rRNA
Rfam family: Bacterial small subunit ribosomal RNA
Source: RNAcentral